This 877-nucleotide ribosomal RNA is filed under the name uncultured bacterium. Its description in RNAcentral is "bacterial SSU rRNA". It matches the Rfam family "Bacterial small subunit ribosomal RNA", at positions 31 to 896 of the family's 1533-position model. The record is from RNAcentral.
GAACGCUGGCGGCAUGCUUUACACAUGCAAGUCCGGACGGCAGCACAGAGAAGCUUGCUUCUUGGGUGGCGAGUGGCGAACGGGUGAGUAAUAUAUCGGAACGUACCGAGUAAUGGGGGAUAACUAAUCGAAAGAUUAGCUAAUACCGCAUAUUCUCUGAGGAGGAAAGCAGGGGACCUUCGGGCCUUGCGUUAUUCGAGCGGCCGAUAUCUGAUUAGCUAGUUGGUGGGGUAAAGGCCUACCAAGGCGACGAUCAGUAGCGGGUCUGAGAGGAUGAUCCGCCACACUGGGACUGAGACACGGCCCAGACUCCUACGGGAGGCAGCAGUGGGGAAUUUUGGACAAUGGGCGCAGGCCUGAUCCAGCCAUGCCGCGUGUCUGAAGAAGGCCUUCGGGUUGUAAAGGACUUUUGUCAGGGAAGAAAAGGCUGUUGCUAAUAUCGACAGCUGAUGACGGUACCUGAAGAAUAAGCACCGGCUAACUACGUGCCAGCAGCCGCGGUAAUACGUAGGGUGCGAGCGUUAAUCGGAAUUACUGGGCGUAAAGCGAGCGCAGACGGUUACUUAAGCAGGAUGUGAAAUCCCCGGGCUCAACCUGGGAACUGCGUUCUGAACUGGGUGACUAGAGUGUGUCAGAGGGAGGUAGAAUUCCACGUGUAGCAGUGAAAUGCGUAGAGAUGUGGAGGAAUACCGAUGGCGAAGGCAGCCUCCUGGGAUAACACUGACGUUCAUGCUCGAAAGCGUGGGUAGCAAACAGGAUUAGAUACCCUGGUAGUCCACGCCCUAAACGAUGUCAAUUAGCUGUUGGGCAACUUGAUUGCUUAGUAGCGUAGCUAACGCGUGAAAUUGACCGCCUGGGGAGUACGGUCGCAAGAUUA